RNAcentral lists this ribosomal RNA (1235 nucleotides) under metagenome. RNAcentral describes it as "bacterial LSU rRNA". It matches the Rfam family "Bacterial large subunit ribosomal RNA", at positions 1692 to 2925 of the family's 2925-position model. The record is from RNAcentral.
GAGAGAACUCUCGUUAAGGAACUCGGCAAAAUGACCCCGUAACUUCGGGAGAAGGGGUGCUUUUUAGGGUGAAUAGCCUUGAAAAGCCGCAGUGAAUAGGCCCAGGCGACUGUUUAGCAAAAACACAGGUCUCUGCGAAACCGCAAGGUGAAGUAUAGGGGCUGACACCUGCCCGGUGCUGGAAGGUUAAGAGGAGAGGUUAGCGCAAGCGAAGCUUUGAAUUGAAGCCCCAGUAAACGGCGGCCGUAACAAUAACGGUCCUAAGGUAGCGAAAUUCCUUGUCGGGUAAGUUCCGACCCGCACGAAAGGUGUAACGAUCUGGGCACUGUCUCAACGAGAGACUCGGUGAAAUUAUAGUACCUGUGAAGAUGCAGGUUACCCGCGACAGGACGGAAAGACCCCGUGGAGCUUUACUGUAGCCUGAUAUUGAAUUUUGGUACAGCUUGUACAGGAUAGGUAGGAGCCUGAGAAGCCGGAGCGCCAGCUUCGGUGGAGGCGUUGGUGGGAUACUACCCUGGCUGUAUUGACAUCCUAACCCGCGCCCCUUAUCGGGGUGGGAGACAGUGUCAGGUGGACAGUUCGACUGGGGCGGUCGCCUCCUAAAGAGUAACGGAGGCGCCCAAAGGUUCCCUCAGAAUGGUUGGAAAUCAUUCGUAGAGUGUAAAGGCACAAGGGAGCUUGACUGCGAGACCUACAAGUCGAGCAGGGACGAAAGUCGGGCUUAGUGAUCCGGUGGUUCCGCAUGGAAGGGCCAUCGCUCAACGGAUAAAAGCUACCCCGGGGAUAACAGGCUUAUCUCCCCCAAGAGUCCACAUCGACGGGGAGGUUUGGCACCUCGAUGUCGGCUCAUCGCAUCCUGGGGCUGUAGUCGGUCCCAAGGGUUGGGCUGUUCGCCCAUUAAAGCGGUACGCGAGCUGGGUUCAGAACGUCGUGAGACAGUUCGGUCCCUAUCCGUCGUGGGCGCAGGAAAUUUGAGAGGAGCUGUCCUUAGUACGAGAGGACCGGGAUGGACGCACCUCUGGUGUACCAGUUGUUCUGCCAAGAGCAUCGCUGGGUAGCUAUGUGCGGACGGGAUAAGUGCUGAAAGCAUCUAAGCAUGAAGCCCCCCUCAAGAUGAGAUUUCCCAUAGCGCAAGCUAGUAAGAUCCCUGAAAGAUGAUCAGGUUGAUAGGUCAGAGGUGGAAGCGUGGUGACAUGCGGAGCUGACUGAUACUAAUAGAUCGAGGACUUAACCGA